RNAcentral lists this long non-coding RNA (476 nucleotides) under Mytilus galloprovincialis (Mediterranean mussel). The record is from RNAcentral. Lineage: Eukaryota; Metazoa; Mollusca; Bivalvia; Mytilida; Mytilidae.
CCUAUAAUUUACACUUACUUUGCUUGUUUUAAUAAAAGGUCAAGGUUUCAAUUACUAAACAUGAUAAAAAUAAAAAUAUUUCAGAAAUUAGUUUUUUGAAUGGAAGUUUUCUUGUGCACUAUGGUACCAUUUAGACUUUUAUUGUUGUAAAUUGAAAGACAAGAAACAUGGAAUAAAUACUUGCACCUGUCUGCAAGUUUAAGGAGGUCAUGGUUAAAUUCUUAGUUUAAAAAUUUGUAGAAAUGUACAGACAAUAAUUAUUGCUGACGAAAAUAGAAUUUGUUGGGAUUGGUCUUAGAAACGGGUAUAAAUGUGAAGUUCACGGAUACUUUCCUUGCCUAUUUUAUUCUGUAAUUUUUGCAAUAUUGUGUUCUUUCAACUUAUCUUGAACAUGUUGAACCUUAUUUAAAUAUUAGAUUGAUCUAUUGGAAUAAAAAUAAAUCAUUGCCAUCACUAUUUGCUUAUUUGUGAGUUUG